UACGUAGGGUGCGAGCGUUGUCCGGAAUUAUUGGGCGUAAAGAGCUCGUAGGCGGUUUGUCGCGUCGGCCGUGAAAACUUGGGGCUUAACCCCGAGCCUGCGGUCGAUACGGGCAGACUUGAGUUCGGCAGGGGAGACUGGAAUUCCUGGUGUAGCGGUGAAAUGCGUAGAUAUCUGGAGGAAUACCGGUGGCGAAGGCGGCAUCCUGGACCGGCAUUGACGCUGAGGAGCGAAAGCCAGGGGAGCAAACGGG
Molecule: ribosomal RNA, 253 nt
Filed under: uncultured bacterium
Lineage: Bacteria
Description: partial 16S ribosomal RNA
Rfam family: Bacterial small subunit ribosomal RNA
Source: RNAcentral